Molecule: non-coding RNA, 376 nt
Organism: Paramuricea clavata
Lineage: Eukaryota; Metazoa; Cnidaria; Anthozoa; Malacalcyonacea; Plexauridae
Source: the annotation of a GenBank genome assembly
UGAACAUGUAAACUUGUUCAUUAAAGUGUAUAUGCAAUGAAUACGUAUAAAAUGUACUGCAAUGAAUUUCUGCACAGGUAACCCAAUAAGAACAUCAGUUAUUUGGAUAACUAAAUUAUAUAAGUUCUCGACGAUUAAGAGAUGCCUGCGGAGGAGGCUAACAUUGAAUUGCCAUAACAAGAUAUAUACUUAUAGUUCUAGGGAGCUAGGAGGGGGGAUUUAAGAUUUUCUAACACAGAUGAGGGGGAGGUUUCAGGAAAGUCAAAAGUUGCAGGGCCAGGGGGGAAAGUCAUAAUAUAAUAUAAUAAUUAUACAAGCACAUGUUUAAUUCACCAGCCCCUUCCUCUACUAAAUAACAUUAUCUGGUGCUUGUUCC